This is a non-coding RNA of Heterocephalus glaber (naked mole-rat), 1188 nucleotides long. The record is from RefSeq and is a predicted model, not a curated record. Lineage: Eukaryota; Metazoa; Chordata; Mammalia; Rodentia; Bathyergidae.
GGAGUCUGGUGCCUUACCAAUAUUUCACCAAUAAAAGUGUCAAUAGUCAUUUAUUUAUGUUAUGAAACUGUUUUGUUCCCUGUUCAGAAACUUCUAGAGUCUUCUGUGGAUCUACUUAGUUUAAAGAGAAAGCUAGCUUGGGACUUAUUUAUGAGCCCGCAGUGACUGAGACUCUGGGUGGUGGUCUUCAACAUUUACCAUCACAAUCUCACAUGUGAUAUCACCUUAGCCAGACCUUAGCAAAUGGGCAUCCAGAGGUAUCUGUGCACAGGGAGGAAACAGUUCUCCUCUCAGAGCAGAGUAUUUCCCAGGGUUGACUGCAGAGGCAUGGAACAGAAAAGCUGUACAAUGUUAGUUUAGAUAUAUUAGGUAAUCCAGGGAUGCUACAAAGGCCCCAGGUCCACCAGAGUCCAUCUUUAGGUUAAGACCUGUUUUCGGAUUCCCAGAAUAUGAGCCUGAGCUCUAGUUAUGAUGUUUAUUAACUUCAGGGAAAGUAAAGAAGGGAACAGGAUUAAGGAGAUACAUCAGUUGAGUUCGCUAUUUCAAGAACCUUUGGGGAAACUCCACCCAGUGACUUCUGUCUAAUAUCAUUGGCCAGGACUGUGUCAUAUGACCACUCUACCUAUAAGAAACUGGAAUUCUGUGCUGCAUGAAACAAGAUGAAAGCCCUAUAGAAUGAGGGGAGAAGAAAAAGAGUAUUGGACAGUGAGCUCGAGAAUCUAUUGCUUCAGAACUCUCAGUACCAUGAAGUCAGUGGAAUGAUCACUGUCAAGAAUGAGUGCGCAACAGGGGAGCAAAUGACAUCAUUCAUCUCUGGCACAGUGGGAAUGAGUGGAGAUGGACGUGGUCAAGGAACAUUUCUUCACUCCAUGCUCUUAAUAAUUGAGAAACACAUGGGGAUACUGUUUCUAACCCUAACUACUGAAACAACAGGUGGACCUGGAAGUCAUUCAAGAACUGAGAUAAGGACAGCUUCUUUCAUAAAUGACCGGGGAGGUGAAAGUCUAGAAAAUAAACAGUGAACUUCUCACUUUGAAAUAGCAAUAAUUAUAGAGUAAUAAAUAUCAAAUACAUAAGAGAAAAAAGACAAAAUUAAAGACAUUUGUUGCAUUACAUGAAAAAAGCCAUGAGAUUAAAAAAUGUAGAGAUUUUGACUUCUUCUAAAUAAAGUUGAUAAGCAAGCAUUAA